GAUAAACGCUGGCGGCGUACAUAAGACAUGCAAGUCGAACGAACUUAACCUUAAGUUUACUUUUGGAGCGGUUAGUGGCGGACUGGUGAGUAACGCGUGAGUAAUCUGCCUAUCAGAGGGGAAUAACAGUGAGAAAUCAUUGCUAAUACCGCAUAUGCUGUGAAUAUCGCAUGAUAUAAACAGAAAAGGAGUAAUCCACUGAUAGAUGAGCUUGCGUCUGAUUAGCUAGUUGGUGUGGUAAGAGCAUACCAAGGCGAUGAUCAGUAGCCGGACUGAGAGGUUGAACGGCCACAUUGGGACUGAGAUACGGCCCAAACUCCUACGGGAGGCAGCAGUCGGGAAUAUUGCGCAAUGGAGGAAACUCUGACGCAGUGACGCCGCGUGUAGGAAGAAGGUCUUAGGAUUGUAAACUACUUUAGACAGGGAAGAAAUGACAGUACCUGUAGAAUAAGUUCCGGCUAACUACGUGCCAGCCGCCGCCGUAAC
RNAcentral lists this ribosomal RNA (486 nucleotides) under uncultured Eubacteriales bacterium. RNAcentral describes it as "bacterial SSU rRNA". It matches the Rfam family "Bacterial small subunit ribosomal RNA", at positions 28 to 524 of the family's 1533-position model. Lineage: Bacteria; Bacillati; Bacillota; Clostridia; Eubacteriales. The record is from RNAcentral.